AUUAAUAAAUUUAGUUUAUAAAAACAUUAUUUUUUCAAUUUAAAAAUUUUUAUAUUAAGCUUCUAACUUAAUUAAUU
RNAcentral lists this transfer RNA (77 nucleotides) under Orseolia oryzae (Asian rice gall midge). RNAcentral describes it as "tRNA-Glu". The record is from RNAcentral. Lineage: Eukaryota; Metazoa; Arthropoda; Insecta; Diptera; Cecidomyiidae.